Long non-coding RNA from Cyprinus carpio carpio, 452 nucleotides. The record is from Ensembl. Lineage: Eukaryota; Metazoa; Chordata; Actinopteri; Cypriniformes; Cyprinidae.
AGACUCCUGACCUGAAUAUAUCUACAUGCCAAUAUUCAGAUAUCGCUAUAGCGCCACCUGCUGGCAACAGGAAGUGACAUGUUUUACGCCGUAACAAACUACUCCUAGAAAUUUUAUGCCAUUUUAUAAUUUUUUUUGGUCAGUCUAGUCUAAAGGCCUUUGCGAUGUUAAAUUGUGAACAUCUUGAGGUUUCAUUAAAGGGUGUGGCCAUGGCGCCGUGACAAAGUUCGAUGUCUCGCCAUGGGAAUAGAAGUUGUUGUAACUCAGGCAUAAGAUGUCCGAUCUUCCCCUAACUUCACAUGUUCGAAAAGAGUCUGGGCCUUAACACAUCUGAAGGUCAUUAUUCCACUAUAAUCAUAGCGCCACCUGCUGACAACAGAAAAUGGCUUGUUUUACACUAACUUAAACAUGCAAUGUCCAAUCUGCACCAAACUUCAAAUAUUUGAUGAGAG